RNAcentral lists this ribosomal RNA (495 nucleotides) under uncultured bacterium. RNAcentral's name for it is "partial 16S ribosomal RNA". It matches the Rfam family "Bacterial small subunit ribosomal RNA", at positions 28 to 507 of the family's 1533-position model. The record is from RNAcentral.
GAUGAACGCUGGCGGCGUGCCUAAUACAUGCAAGUAGAACGCUGAAGGAGGAGCUUGCUCUGCUGGACGAGUUGCGAACGGGUGAGUAACGCGUAGGUAACCUGCCCGGCAGUGGGGGAUAACUAUUGGAAACGAUAGCUAAUACCGCAUGACAACAGUUAUUGCAUGAUAACUGUUAAAAAGGGGCAACUGCUCCACUACCAGAUGGACCUGCGUUGUAUUAGCUAGUUGGUGAGGUAACGGCUCACCAAGGCGAGGACACAUAGCCGACCGGAGUGGGGGCGCGGCCCCCCUGAGACGGGGACCCGGCCCAUACUCCUACGGGAGGGGCCAGUACGGCAUCGUCGGCCAUGGACGGAAGACUGACCGAGCAACGCCCCGGGAGUGAAGAAGGUUUUCGGGUCGUGGAGCUCGGUUGUCAGGGUAGAACGAGUUUGAGCGUGGAAAGAACACACUGUGACGGUAUCUUACCAGAAAGCGCCGGCUAACUACGUG